Molecule: ribosomal RNA, 441 nt
Filed under: Salmonella enterica subsp. enterica serovar Amager
Lineage: Bacteria; Pseudomonadati; Pseudomonadota; Gammaproteobacteria; Enterobacterales; Enterobacteriaceae
Description: partial 23S ribosomal RNA
Rfam family: Bacterial large subunit ribosomal RNA
Source: RNAcentral
CAUCCUCCAAGGCUAAAUACUCCUGACUGACCGAUAGUGAACCAGUACCGUGAGGGAAAGGCGAAAAGAACCCCGGCGAGGGGAGUGAAAAAGAACCUGAAACCGUGUACGUACAAGCAGUGGGAGCCCCACCACUAAGCCAGUGGUGAACUCCACAUACGCAUCCUUUGCUGAGGAUACGGUUAACGGAGCGAAAGCGACGUUCAACCUCAAAAGAAGCAGAGGGGGCUUAGUGGUGGGGUGACUGCGUACCUUUUGUAUAAUGGGUCAGCGACUUAUAUUCUGUAGCAAGGUUAACCGAAUAGGGGAGCCGCAGGGAAACCGAGUCUUAACCGGGCGUUAAGUUGCAGGGUAUAGACCCGAAACCCGGUGAUCUAGCCAUGGGCAGGUUGAAGGUUGGGUAACACUAACUGGAGGACCGAACCGACUAAUGUUGAAAAA